RNAcentral lists this ribosomal RNA (265 nucleotides) under uncultured prokaryote. RNAcentral describes it as "partial 16S ribosomal RNA". It matches the Rfam family "Bacterial small subunit ribosomal RNA", at positions 524 to 788 of the family's 1533-position model. The record is from RNAcentral.
UACGUAGGUGGCAAGCGUUAUCCGGAAUUAUUGGGCGUAAAGAGCGCGCAGGUGGUUGAUUAAGUCUGAUGUGAAAGCCCACGGCUUAACCGUGGAGGGUCAUUGGAAACUGGUCGACUUGAGUGCAGAAGAGGGAAGUGGAAUUCCUUGUGUAGCGGUGAAAUGCGUAGAGAUAUGGAGGAACACCAGUGGCGAAGGCGGCUUCCUGGUCUGUAACUGACACUGAGGCGCGAAAGCGUGGGGAGCAAACAGGAUUAGAUACCCU